This 3353-nucleotide long non-coding RNA is filed under the name Canis lupus familiaris (dog). RNAcentral's name for it is "lncRNA (ENSCAFG00000058653.1)". The record is from RNAcentral. Lineage: Eukaryota; Metazoa; Chordata; Mammalia; Carnivora; Canidae.
GUUUAAUAUUCAGGAAAUGAGACUUUAUAAACAUUAUAGAAAAUCACAAACUGCCUUAUUUGGCUUAACAAAAAUACUUAAGCCAAUCCUAAGGCUUUGCUUUGUGAAUAAAAGAGUAAUCCAUAACUUACUCUGGAAAGCUUAGAGGACUGUAGCGAACAUAGACAUUUGUCAAAUGGUGAAAAAUUCAGAUUUCCUUAAAUGCUACUGCUUAUUGAUAUUUGAAACUUAAAAAAAAAUCUUAUAGCCGUUUAUUUCAAAAUGCCUUUGCCGUAUCCUGUUUCCAAAUUAGUUUUGCUACUUACAUCCCACUGCUUAUCUGAUAGAUAUGUUUACUUGGAUACUCAGCCUCCCUCUGAGUCACACUUAUGAAUGAUUACACACCUUCAACUAAAUAUUGAACAUUUUGAUCAUAAAACUAAAAUUUUCAUUUGUAUUGACAUUGCUUCCCCCAGAGUCAACUCUUUGCAUUAUUAAAUAUAUUAUUCCAAAAAUGAUUUCUUCACAAUCCCGCAUAAUAUUAAGUCACAUAAGCAAUUCCUACACAAAACCUUUGGUUAAACUAUGGAACUGAAUGAACCGGUUGGGGAAAUGAUUCCCAUGAUCGAUUUUCUCCCCUACCAAAAGUAAAGAUUAUUAUGCUGAAAUCAUUGAAGAUUUAUCCUAGAAAAUUGAAAAAAUAUAAUUCGGAACUUUAGCAGAUUGAUUAUUCAGUUAAUUCUUGGGAGUGCAAGAGGAUUUUUAAAAAUGCUCUCAUUCAUUUAAGCCGGUGAGAUACUAAUUGGGUUAUUCAGCAUUGUUUUCCUAAAUAGGGUCCAGCAGAUCUCAAAGAGAUCAUUGACUCUCUGAAAUCUUAGAGUUUUGGUCUACAAGUAUAUCCUACUGGAGAGAAAACAAGCAAAGAAGGCUUGACUUCCAUCACAUAGUUGAUUGCUUUGGACAAUACCAACCCUAACCUUUAAUUAGUUGCCUACCUAUUCAAUAAUCUCCCCCUUUCUUGUGGGUUCAGGUCUAUAGUCUAAGCCUAAUUCACUUACAGGGCGUAGUCCACAUAGCACGGAGCACCAGUGUCCUUCACUGGUGUUGAUGAGAUUACUCAGAGAUAAUAUUUAGAGAAGUGGAUCUUGAGUUUGCCCUCUUAUAUCAUGGCCUUGUUAUUGUUUAUAACAUCUCUGUAUCAUCAUAUUCCAUAAAUUAAGACUCAGGGGAAAGAGGAGCUUACACUGAGGAAAAUUGUUUCCAAAAGCCCAUCAUUCCCCAACAUAUAGUAUGUGCAUGGUACAUUCCAAGCUCUAGAGACUAAUAAGCCAAGGAUUUUAUCCUUGAUGAGCUCAUGAUCGCUUCUGUGUUAUCUUGCAGUAGGUAACUAAUAAAUACGUUAUGAAAUAAACAUUUCCAGUUGACACUGGAUCAAGUUAUUCUCCAGCAUUUUAAGGGACUGCUCAUCUUCCCGUAUUGUUGUGCAUUCUGCUCAAAAUAAAUUCAAAAUGGGCUGUUCCUACACAAACCAGCCGAAUUUGUAGAUGUGAUUAGUGUGUCUGCUAGUGGUAAAGACACUCGCAGCUUUCUUUGUUAAGGUGAGGAAAGUAAAGGAACUGGUUUCAUUUGUAAUUUAUGUUUCCAUUGUCCUGGUAACAUCAGCAAUGAGGUAUCUGUCACCACAUCUUAUCCCAGGUCACAGAAUCAAGGGUUGGGUCUUUUUCGUUACACCAAGUGACUGUUACAUGAAUAAGAACUUUUAAAUGAUUUCUUUAAAGAAAACCUUCUUGUCAUGAAUUAUUUAAAAUUGUAGUUUUGUGGUAAUGAUAUUUGGAAACACUUCUGGUGACUGGUCAGACUUUGGAAACCGUUUCUUUAUAGUCAACCAUUUAUUGCAGUGAAAGUCGCACAGAUGGGAUUUGACUUGAAACUCCUGCUUUUUCAUUCCAAUGCUUUUUUUUUUUUAAAGAGGCAGAAACCAUUACAAUUUACAAUUACUAGUUGAAAUUGGCAGUUUUAGCUAUAACUUUUAAUUUACUGAUUUUUUUAAAUUUAUUGAUAUACUUGAACUUAGUUAAAAAAACAAAACAACAACAACAAAAAAACAACCCAAUCUGUGAGACUUUUUGCAAGACUGGUGCCUGAAAAGACUCACUUGUCUUUUAAAAAAACAUUGUGUACAUCUUUAAAAUGUGACAUACAUAUAUACAUAUUUCAGAGUUUUUUCUCAUAUUGUCUAAAUGACUAGCAUAGAGCUUUCUGCUUUCAGAAACACUGUAUGUAAUGUAAAUAAUGUCAUUAUGAUAAAGAUAAUGGGUAUCUAAUGAUCCUCCUAUGAUUUCUUUGCAAUUUAAAUUGCAACACUGGCCAGGAUCUCUGUAAGUAUAACUUGACUAGCUGACUAGUAACCGAUGUUAAUUCAGGGAAUUGAUAACACAAUUUGUAUCUAGAGCAUGAGCUUCGAGUCAAAAUCAACAGAAAGCCACAUUUUGGCGGCAAAUGCUGGCCAGUUUAAGCUCACAACAUUUAUUUAUUCGUAUUAGAUGAAUUCAGUCAUGUUCAUUCUUGGCAGUCAUCUAAGUUUGAAAUGGGUGAGGGAGAACAUUUGCAUUCGGCUUAUUUUGUGUUUUCCCCUCUGAAUGCAAACUCUUGCCAGGUGUUAGAAGCUAGCCACAUCAGUUGAGAGAAUUAUCAUCCUGAAAAAAAGAAAAAAAAACCUGUCAUACCUAUGGCCCUCCCAGUUGCCCGGAUAUUUGCUGGAAUUCCAAUUAACAUUUUAUGCUAUGACCUAGUACACCCAUUGCAUGAGGGACUACUGAGUGACCCCAAAGCUGACAAACUGGGAAAGCCCUCAGAAGACAGGCCUCACAUAACUGCUCAGAAGGUUUUGCCAAAAUGUUGACAUAUGUUCCUCCCAAAAGAAGUCUCCCCACACCCAUCCUCUACCCUCCGCCCCACAGAAAGUAUUUGGGAGAGAACAGCUUGAAAGAUUUUCUAUGAUUUUUAACAUCUCAAACCCAAGCAUUUCUCUGGCUCAAACAACAGAAACGUUCACGUUUAACACUUCGAGCAUUGCAGGUGUAGUAGCCUAGAGAGCACUGGCUCAGAUAAAUAUAUCCAAACAGCAUAGUCUCCUAUUUCACCGAUACCUGCUGUAUUUUAGAUAUUGUGGCAUUUACAGCUUUGUUGAUUUGUGCUGUUACAGCGUGUCAUAAACGUCACUAAUGAUAUUUUGAUUUGUGAUUCUUUUUAUUUAAGGUUUUUGUGAAUGUUAAAGUGUUCGCUCUAUAGCUGUCAUGUCUUAUGAAAUUAGACACUGGUUUUCUUUCCUUUGGGUGUCCUAAACCAAACAAUUGCUUAAUAAAUAUCUUUUU